Molecule: unclassified non-coding RNA, 379 nt
Filed under: Hevea brasiliensis (rubber tree)
Lineage: Eukaryota; Viridiplantae; Streptophyta; Magnoliopsida; Malpighiales; Euphorbiaceae
Source: RNAcentral
UGGCAAGUCACAUGAUCUUACAAAUUAAAAAACUAUUGACUACAACAAUUAUCCUUAGAUAAUCCUAUGGGUUGUGCAAACCAAAGAAGGUUGCGCAAAGUUGUGCUAAUGGGACAAAGAAACACAGAUAAAAUUGAAAAUAAAGCAGUCCAAGCUAUUAUUUCAGAUGGAUGAGUAGUUUCUUUUAUGAUUGACAUAUAUCAAAAGCAUUAUGACUACAAAGUACAAAAUGGAGAAGAUUUAAAGCCUGUUCCAUCUCAUAAUAUUAACAUAUAGUACACCAAGUAGAACCCAGGCUACCAAAAAUAAAUACAUAGAAAAUCCCAAACCAAAACAGCAGCAACACACAUCACUUGACAAUUUAACUAAAAUCAACAAG